UCAAAGUUGCGUCGUCGAUGAAGGUCUGAUCGGUCUCAGUCGUCGACAGCUAGCUUAUAAGACCCUUCAUUUUUGUUUUAUUUCAAGGGAAGGAAGGAUCACGUGAAUGCAUCGUGGACAGCUUCUCCUUUCGCAGGAGCAGCAUGUGAAAUGCGAUACCUCUUGCCGACGCGCUCUUUUUUCUUCUUCUUUUGGUAUGAUAACACAACCGCGAAACACCCGUCUGGCUUUUUCCAAACGCUCUUUGGGAACACCAACCACACACACACAAAAAGAAACCGUUAUCGCCCUCGCAAGAUGAAUUUUCGACUGGUGGUAUACGCUGUCUGCCACGUACGAGCUUCCAGCAGUGAGUGUGCCACGUAAGAGCCAAGUGAUAUUUACUCCGUAUCUCGUCGGAUGACCAUUGCUGAGCCAAAGGCGUACGGCAGUUACUGCAGCUGGACAUCGGUGGACGUAGAUGUUAUGGUCAAUCUGAGUCACGGUAGUGCAUUUUCCCUGUUUCAGUGUUGGUUUUGUAAAUUCUGUUGUAGCUACGAAAACGAACAGGGAAACAGCACUCAGAAAGGACAAGGUGUAGCAGAACAUCUCCGGACAUCUAUUUACCAUGACGACCUACAGUAAAAUGAGACAACUCGUCAUGGAUUUCAAUAUUUAUUGGUAUGAGGACGGCGACAUUUUCCUUGGAGUUGAUGAUCCUGGGUAACGUCCCGCAUGCCGCACACAUCAUCACCCGAUUGGGACCAGGAAUCGCCAGCGUUGGCUGGCUGUUCGACAUCGGACCAGUGAUCGCCAGUCAUUUCGUCGUCGGUGGUGGCAGGUAGUUCUCCGGAACCCAAGUCCUUCUACGACUUCCAGAAGGUUGCAACAGUCGGUCCAACGUGUCC
This is a long non-coding RNA of Ornithodoros turicata, 887 nucleotides long. RefSeq lists it as uncharacterized. The record is from RefSeq and is a predicted model, not a curated record. NCBI's taxonomy places the organism in Eukaryota, Metazoa, Arthropoda, Arachnida, Ixodida, Argasidae. The transcript has 4 exons.